GGACUACUCGGGUUUCUAAUCCUGUUUGCUCCCCACGCUUUCGCACCUCAGUGUCAGUUAAAGCCCAGUAAGUCGCCUUCGCCACUGGUGUUCCUUCCGGUAUCUACGCAUUUCACCGCUACUCCGGAAAUUCCACUUACCUCUACUUCACUCAAGUCAUAUAGUUUUGAAUGCAAUUCCUAGGUUAAGCCCAGGGAUUUCACACCCAACUUGUAUAACCACCUACGCGCGCUUUACGCCCAGUAAUUCCGAUUAACGCUCGCACCCUCUGUAUUACCGCGGCUGCUGGCAC
This 292-nucleotide ribosomal RNA is filed under the name uncultured bacterium. RNAcentral describes it as "partial 16S ribosomal RNA". The record is from RNAcentral.